Molecule: ribosomal RNA, 646 nt
Filed under: Salmonella enterica subsp. enterica serovar Kentucky
Lineage: Bacteria; Pseudomonadati; Pseudomonadota; Gammaproteobacteria; Enterobacterales; Enterobacteriaceae
Description: partial 23S ribosomal RNA
Rfam family: Bacterial large subunit ribosomal RNA
Source: RNAcentral
GAAACCGAGUCUUAACUGGGCGUUAAGUUGCAGGGUAUAGACCCGAAACCCGGUGAUCUAGCCAUGGGCAGGUUGAAGGUUGGGUAACACUAACUGGAGGACCGAACCGACUAAUGUUGAAAAAUUAGCGGAUGACUUGUGGCUGGGGGUGAAAGGCCAAUCAAACCGGGAGAUAGCUGGUUCUCCCCGAAAGCUAUUUAGGUAGCGCCUCGUGAACUCAUCUUCGGGGGUAGAGCACUGUUUCGGCUAGGGGGUCAUCCCGACUUACCAACCCGAUGCAAACUGCGAAUACCGAAGAAUGUUAUCACGGGAGACACACGGCGGGUGCUAACGUCCGUCGUGAAGAGGGAAACAACCCAGACCGCCAGCUAAGGUCCCAAAGUCACAGUUAAGUGGGAAACGAUGUGGGAAGGCUCAGACAGCCAGGAUGUUGGCUUAGAAGCAGCCAUCAUUUAAAGAAAGCGUAAUAGCUCACUGGUCGAGUCGGCCUGCGCGGAAGAUGUAACGGGGCUAAACUGUGCACCGAAGCUGCGGCAGCGACGCUUAUGCGUUGUUGGGUAGGGGAGCGUUCUGUAAGCCUGCGAAGGUGUCCUGUGAGGGAUGCUGGAGGUAUCAGAAGUGCGAAUGCUGACAUAAGUAACGAUAA